Molecule: RNA transcript, 1695 nt
Organism: Chinchilla lanigera (long-tailed chinchilla)
Lineage: Eukaryota; Metazoa; Chordata; Mammalia; Rodentia; Chinchillidae
Exons: 4
Source: RefSeq, a predicted model, not a curated record
UGAUGACGCAGUCAGCGUUUGGCCCCCAGGGGAUGCCCCGUGCGGGGCUUGACCUCCUGAAGGCCCCGACGCGCUCAGGUGCACCGAGGAGGGACGGCAGGUGCGGCUGAUCAGGGCCACGGGACCCGCCGGCCUCUGCUGCGCAGCGGCGUGGGCAUGAGUGGGGCAGCGGCGGCGGGCGCUUCCCGAGGCUCCCGGGCCACGCGCGGCAACCGCCGGACGGCGAUGGAGCGGGGCGAGCAGAACGCUGAGUUGAGCUCCUCUGAGGAUGAGAGCCCCCCUCGAGUGCCAAAGAGGCCACCCUGGAAGAUGCCCAUCAAGUACAGCACCCCUGAGGGAGAGGAGGCAGCCCCGUACUGGAGCCCAAGGCCUGGAGGCCGGGCCUCCUACCUGCAAGAGUCCCCAGUGUCUGCGCUCUCUGCCCAGGACCUUGGGCCCCACCAAGCAGGGCUCAGCCCUAGGGCCACCUUCAGGAGGAGGAGGCUUUCCACCAUCUACGCCUUGGAGGAGGGCCCCAGCGUGCAGCCAGGGACCUGCUCAGACCCCUCAUCCCUCGGGGACAACUCACCAGAGCCCGCCUCGUUGGCCAAGCCACAGCAGAAGGCAGAGGACCUGCAAGGAAAUCGCUGGCCACGCAAUGCAGGUCUGCCUGGGGUGCCAGACACCUCCAAGAGGAAGAGACGGGACCCGAAGGAGCGGGCAGCCGUGAUGCUGCGGGUGAGACAGUGGGAGGCCCGUCUGCUGCAGGACAUCGAGGCAGCUGUGCACCAUGAGCUCACCAUCCAGGCCGAGGGGUUGCCUAGCAUGGGCAUGGUCCAGGUCCAGUUCGAUGCCCAGGAGCCCACCACCUCGGACUGACUUAACUGUCCACACCCACCGCACCAUCCACACCCAUUGCCCUGCGGUCCCUGGAUGACUGCGUGUUUACCCUGUCGGAGUCUAUGCAGUCAUCCGCAGGCUCUCCCCUUGAGCUGAUGAUUAGGAUGCAAUUCUCUGGAACAUUUCACAGAUGAGAUGGAGAACAGUGUGUAUGCGCUGCCCACAGGAAGAUGCCCGGGAAGCCAGCUGCAGAAGGAAGGGGCGCUACCACCCAAGUGCCCAGACGCAGGCAGAACGCAGUCCCUGUUCAUCCUUCUAAGACUUUCUGGGAGAGGUGGCUGUGAGGAACCCGGAACAGGGAAGCGGGGCAUUCCCAGAGCCGGACGCACGGGAUGUGUGUGUGGCAUGUGGGGUUGGACAAACAGCAGGAUUCCUCAGUGAAGGCUUUCAUGAGCACCUGGUAAGGCUGGUGCUUGGGAGGGGCUCGCUUAGGGAAAAGCACAGGUGUAACUUACACCAUUGCUUGGCAUAGAAAUGAGUCCCUCAGUCCUCACAGUGUGUGCAGACCCUCACGGUCUGCACAAGACGCAGUCAGAAAACCCUCUGAGGGAAGGAAAUGCAUUAAGUACCUGCUUUUCCUUGGUAGUUUUCCUCCCGUUGAAAAUGCCCGGAACUCUGAGAAGCUGCUGCCUCUAACCUUUCUUGACAUCUGAACAUCAUAUUUGCACCUGCUGCCUAUGCCCCACUGCCCCUUUGUAGGCAGGUCCAGAGAACCAGCACAUGGCACUGCCGUGCUCUGCCAGAUGACCUGCCGGGGGUGUGGAUUUAAACCACCGCCAGCGAUGCACGGAUAGUUGGUGUAUUUGUUUUCUGGAA